This 874-nucleotide ribosomal RNA is filed under the name uncultured bacterium. Its description in RNAcentral is "bacterial SSU rRNA". It matches the Rfam family "Bacterial small subunit ribosomal RNA", at positions 51 to 928 of the family's 1533-position model. The record is from RNAcentral.
ACACAUGCAAGUCGAGCGGGGAAUGAUUGGUAGCUUGCUACUGGUUAUUUCUAGCGGCGGACGGGUGAGUAACGCGUGAGCAACCUGCCUUUAUCAGGGGGAUAACGCAUCGAAAGAUGUGCUAAUACCGCGUAAGACCACAGCUUCACAUGGAGCAGGGGUCAAAGGAGCAAUCCGGAUAAAGAUGGGCUCGCGUCCGAUUAGCUAGUUGGUGAGAUAACAGCCCACCAAGGCGACGAUCGGUAGCCGACCUGAGAGGGUGAUCGGCCACAUUGGAACUGAGAAACGGUCCAGACUCCUACGGGAGGCAGCAGUGGGGAAUAUUGGGCAAUGGGCGAAAGCCUGACCCAGCAACGCCGCGUGAGGGAAGAAGGGUUUCGGCUCGUAAACCUCUGUCCUAUGGGACGAAGGAAGUGACGGUACCAUAGGAGGAAGCCCCGGCUAACUACGUGCCAGCAGCCGCGGUAAUACGUAGGGGGCGAGCGUUGUCCGGAAUGAUUGGGCGUAAAGGGCGCGUAGGCGGCCUGCUAAGUCUGGAGUGAAAGUCCUGCUUUCAAGGUGGGAAUUGCUUUGGAUACUGGUGGGCUGGAGUGCAGGAGAGGAAAGCGGAAUUACCGGUGUAGCGGUGAAAUGCGUAGAGAUCGGUAGGAACACCAGUGGCGAAGGCGGCUUUCUGGACUGAAACUGACGCUGAGGCGCGAAAGCGUGGGGAGCAAACAGGAUUAGAUACCCUGGUAGUCCACGCGGUAAACGAUGAAUGCUAGGUGUAGGAGGUAUCGACCCCUUCUGUGCCGCAGUAAACACAAUAAGCAUUCCGCCUGGGGAGUACGGCCGCAAGGUUGAAACUCAAAGGAAUUGACGGGGGCCCGCACAA